RNAcentral lists this unclassified non-coding RNA (9109 nucleotides) under Leishmania donovani. RNAcentral describes it as "gene:unknown". The record is from RNAcentral. Lineage: Eukaryota; Euglenozoa; Kinetoplastea; Trypanosomatida; Trypanosomatidae.
CGUGCUCCUGUUAGCUUUCUUGCGCUCUCGUGAUGCGCGGUUGGUGUUGCAUGUGCUUAUGUGUGUAUGUGCGUGUGUGUGUCUGCGAGCGUGCGCCCAGCUGCUUUUUCCUUCAUUGCCCACCCUUUUUAUAUCAUUCAGCAAGCUCGCUUCUUCCUCACCAGCUUUCUACUCGGGUACCCAGGUGAGCAUGUCAUGACGGCUGUCUACUUACAUGUCUGCGCGCUUUUAUGUCUAAGAAUCUUUGUGUGUGGUUGUAACCGCACUUGUUGUCUUUCACCAGCCACAGGAGUAUCUUUUUUUUUCCUUCACAAUUUGGUGUGUGCGUAUGCCGUACGACGUGUUGUUUUGUCUGUUUGGUGCUAAAGAUUUUCCUUUUUUUGUUCUUGUCGAGCUAGUCCACUACUACGACGAGGACCACCACCACCACCACCACCACCACCACCACCUUUCCCCCUCCCCGUUUCUAUAUCUCAGUCUACUAACUUUUCAAAGCAUACUCGUGUUUUCUGGGUUCUGCUUUUCUUCUCUCGCCUUUCUCUUCGCCGAUUCUACAUAUCUGUCUCUAUACAUCACUCACCUUCUCUCUUUUUCUUUUCGUUUACUUCUAUCGUGUCCUUCCCCCGUUAUUCUCUCUCGGGCUCUUACGCACAGAUAAGCGGAAGACGGAGCAUACACACAGACACCCCCUCACAUACGCAACCCAAGUCACGAAGGAUAUUCGACACUGUUUCUUAUAUCGCUCUUGCUCUCUUUUCGCCUCCAUUUGCGGCAUUCUUCCUUCAUAUACAUACACUUAUAUAAUCUUCCUAGUUUUACGUCUUUCGCUUUCUCUUUCCUUCUCUGUCUUCAUCUCCAUCCCAACAGACUCCCCCUCCCCCACUUCUGUCUUUCUCACUCUUUUUUUUUUCGUCUGUGCCUUCAUGUCUUCAUGACUUUUAGUCGUUGCUGCUGAUCAUGAGCGUUUAAAAUCUGCUCGUGUGUACGUUCCGAUAGUUUCUGUUGUUCACGCAUACACGCACUUCUUCCCUUUCGUUUUGUGUGCGUGCAUGUCUGUGUGGGCGGGCGUGUGCUCCCUUUUCCCAUUUCUGGUGUUGGAUUGUCUUGAUGCACUUUUUGCUUUUUUUGUUGGUUUUGUUUUCCCUUUUUUUUUGCCCUCGUCACGCACACAUGAUUUCGUUCAGCCUUUCUCUCUCGUUGUUUUCCUUCAUUGUUGUUGCACUACACCGCUCCCUCGUUUCUGUUGGUGGUGUGUGCUGAGGCGCAUGCUGAUGCUGUGCCCUGCGCAUCUGUUGUGUGGUGUCCGUCUGCGCAUCCCUGUGGGCGUCUCUCGGUGUAGGUGUUUUUUUGUUCACGGGGAUAUACGCCGAAACAAAUCCAAACGACAACAAAAAAGGCGGAGCUCCACUCAGGCCUCAUCACCACUCUAUCUCUCCCUCCCUCUUCUUUUUUUUUUCUGUCUUUUCGCUGUUAGGUGUCCCAGCGCCUUUUCCGCGAAAAGCGCUGAGCGCACUGUUUCGUACGUCUUCGUAUUUUCUAUGAUGUUUGUUUGUUUCCAUGCAACGAUGUCACACAGAGAGAGACGGGGGAAAAGUGGAGGAUCUGUAAAUUUCUCUGUGCCCCUUUGUGUGGCUGCGUGCAAAUCACAUACAUAUGCAUACAUAUAUAUAUAUAUAUAUGCGUGUGGCAAGUUGUCAUCGGCUCUUUUCGUUCGUGUGGCACUGAAACGAAAGAGGCGAAGUCUGUUUUCAGCUCGUGCUUCCAAUGACCCCCCCCCCCCCCCCCCAAUUUCUCUCCCGCCCCGCGCACACCCCUGCGCACGAACGCCCCCACGCCAUACCAACGCUCGGGCCAACACACGGUCGCCCACUGUCCGGUUUCGAUUCGCUCGCUGUUUUGGGCGACUCUUUUGUUUUGCCUGCGCGGAAAACAACCGCCGCAGAGCGUGCGUGCCAUUCUCUUCUCUUGACACCUUUCUGAGGGGCACCGACCUCUUCUCCUUUUUCCUUGUUGUUUCUGCGUAGUACUUUGCCUUUCUCUUUCUGCGGAUCGAUGUGGCGGCCCCUUCCUCCUCCACGCUCCUUCUCUUCCUUUUUUCUCUUUCUUUUCCUCACGCUUUCGGCGCUGACCUUUUUUCUUUUCGCAUGGCUCUUCGUGUAUGCGCGCGCCUGUGCAUCGGGCGCGUUGCAAGCGGCCUGCAGUGACAGCACCACCUGCCAUACUGGGCUUCACUGCUCUCUCUCUGCAACUACAUGACGACGCACAUGCGCGACGUCGGCCCUCUCACACAUGCUUGCGUCCAAACAUUCUUACGCAUAACCAUGCAUAGGCCCAUGCUCCGCAUUAAUCACAAGGUACCCGUCGAAGCGCUCCGAAGAGUAACCCCACCCCCAGAUCCUUACACACAAACAGAGAGCGAGGUGUACAGAAAACGAAGGAGCUGAUAAUACUCUCGGUGAGAGUUCCUUCGGUACUUCUCCGAUCUAUCGUUGCGUCUUGCUCUUCAGGCGUUGCGUGGGGUUCCUUUUCUGCUCCUCCUUUUGCCCCCUUCUCCCCCUUUUUUAUAUUGCGUAUGUAGUUAUCAUCGCCUGCCCCCACCCCUUAUACUUUGCCUUCCUCCACGUAUGGCAGCUCAACGUCUGCUUCCCCUCCCCUCCCCUCUCUCUGAGUGCGAGUGCCCUUAUCUUACCUGGCCUUCCUCUUCCCAUUUUUUUGUACGUUUCGGUGUGUUCGGCCUCUUUCCACACCGUCUUGUAUUUUUUUUUUGUUUGGCUGGCUGGCUUGGUGGUCGUUCCUGUGCCACUUCUAUAGGCUUUUCUUUUUUUUUUGCUUGGGAGGGGAGAGGAGAAAGACUGAAAAGAUGGACGCGCGCCUGCUCAUACCAUGUCGUGCGCACCUCCACCACCUUUCUCCUUUUCUUCUUCACAGCCUUUCCGUUUUUUCUCCCCCUUCUUUUUGCCUUGUGCGGUUUGCAUAAGAGUGUAAGCUGUAUUAUCAGCUUACACAAGUUUACGUGCGCUUGUCCGCGUGUUUGGUGUGCUUGACGUAUGUGUUGCUUUUCCUUUUCAAUAAUCUAGUGUGUUCGUAUUUUGUGUACGUUCGAGUCUUUUUUCACGUCUUGUGUCGUCUAUUUUCUCUUGUGUAUGCGUGCGUUUGUGUCGUGUUGAGACCUUCCUUUCUCCUCUAUCUCGGGAUUUGGUGUGGCUUCUUUGCCUUUUCCGACAUUUUUACGUAGGCUGUGCGACUUCUUCACUUUAAUCUCGUCAGAUGUCCGCGCCCUGUGACGCCGCGGAUCUCUGUAAAUUUGUUUUCUUUUCCCUACAUUGUGUCUUUCAAGCUCUGCCUUGCCCUCUUAAUCCCCUAAAACGCCGGCUUCUCUUGUGUGGUCUCGCUAUCUAUACCUACUGCCAGCAGAAACGUGCUCGGCUAGCCCUCUCUUCGACCUGUUUUCCUUUGUUAUCGUACGAGUGUUACUGGUCUUGACGGCUUUUCCCCUCGUCUCCGUCUUCCGCGUCGCUCCCUCUUCACUCCACCAACGAACAGCCAGUACACAUCACACGCAUACAUACACAAACACAAACAGUGACACAGUCACAGACAAGCAGUCUGCGAUCGGCUGUUUUUCCUUUUCUUUUCCUCCCUCUCUCGUGCUUUCGAAACCAACAACAACAACAACAAAAAAAUCUCUCGAUGUGUGCCGACAUCGCUGUGUGUGUGCGCGUGCGCCUUUCUCCCUCUCCGCGUGUGUGCGUGUGUGCGUGUGCGUGUGUGCACCUUCGGCACACAUUCGCACUUUGGCGCACUUGUGCCUGUGCCGGCUGUUUUGACCCGCCCCCUUCUUUUUUUUUUUGCGAAUUCGUUGUUGCGCAUCUUUGCCCGCAUUCGCUUGAUUUUUUUUUUUUCGUUACAAGAGAGAGAGAGAGAGAGCGAGCGAGACACACCCUCACAAUCACUCGAAAAAAGGGAAGUAUCUCAUGUUAUUUUCGCUGACUUCUUCCGUCCCUUCUUUCAGGCCUGACCCCAUGGGGGGGGGUCGUGGUCAUCGCCUCUCUCCCCUGUUUCUUGGCUAACCUCCACGGUUUUUUUUUUCGCGUGUGUGCGCGUGUGUUUAGGGAAAGUCGACAGCGCGUCUUUCUUCUUUUUAUUUAUGUGUGUGCUUGUGUGAGUUCUGUUUACGAGAACGCGUUUUCUUUUCUUCACUCUUUUCUCUCUAUAUCUGCUUCCCCCAGAUGAAGGGAAAACGCGCCGAAUAUUUUUCUCAUCUGUUUCUUUUUUUUUCGUUUUUAUUUAUGCGCGGCCCUCCUCCUUCUGUGGAUUGUUUAUUCCAAGUGUUCGCUCUCACACUCUUCCUUUUCUUUCGUUCCUUGGCUUGGUCUUCAGGGUUCUUCUCCCCGUUGCGUCAGUGGUAGUCGCCCAAUGAUGCGCUCGAUAAGGUGACUGGCGCGAUUUUUAUUUCGUUGACGUUUAUUCUGUGUUGUGCCGGCCUAGCAGUCGCUGCAGAGUGCAGAGAUCUUUUUCUUCUCUCUCUUGGUGCCCCGCUUCUGUUCUGCUUGCAUGUCUCCCCCCUCCUCGGCACCUCAAGCCCUCUCUUUGUCUUUCAGCUUCUCGUUUUCUCUCUAAUCCUAUCUGGGAUGAUGGCGGUGGUGAUGGGUUAAGAGAGUGGAAGCGAUGCCCGAUAGCUCCUUCUGGUUGCAGGAGGGAAGGGGUGGAGUGAAAGGGGGAGGGGAAGGGCAGAGCGACGGCGUGUGAGCGACAGAAGAGCCAACCGGAUCAUGCACCCAGACACGUCAGCAGGUGUGUAUACAUCCACAUACACUCAUCGUGACCCUUUUGCCUUUAGGGGGAGGAGGGGCUCUCACGUCUUUUUUUUUGGUUGGCGUGCGCUUUUCCUGUCUUCCAUUGUGACUGGAUUCGCUGUCUGCCUGCCUGCCUUUCUUCUGUGAGCACAUGCUCUCACACCCACGCGCAGAUGGCACCCGCAGCGGAACAAGCACAAAGAGACGGAGUUCGAGCGGUGGUGGUGGUGGUGGGGGAGGGUUGCUCGAGUGUCCCCGUUUCGCUUUUUUUUUGUGUUUUCAGUUUCGUGUAGCUGUGCGAGUCGUGUGGGUGGGUGAGUUCCCGAACGUGUGUGCGAUGUUUCUCUGUUUUCUCUCUGUGUUACUGCCGUUGAUUGUUCUUUGUGUUUGCUCGUUGUCGUGUGUGCGUGUGCGUGUUUCUCCCCACUGGCGCCGCUGCACUCCUUGCCCCUCUCACGGUCUCUCUUACGCAUGUCUUUCCGGCACGUUUCCUCCGGCACCGGUCCGCUCUCUCCCGUCUCGUUUUCUCGUCUUUCGCGCCCUUUGCAGGCUUAUGCGCUGUUUUGUAUGUGUUUCUCGCUGCUUUGCUCGUCUCGUUCUGUGCGAGGACGUGGCGCGCACCCGAGCGCGUGCUCUUCGACAUGUCUGGUGCUCGUCUCUCUCUCUCUUUCGUUUUUAUUCUGGCUACUUUUAUUAGUAUUUCUUGUUCUUCCGUGUUGCCCUGGGGGGGGGCGCACACACACACACCUUUGACCGACCAGGAGGGUGUCCAGCAGAAAAGAGGAGAUUCGAAGGCAUAAAAGCUGAACGAAAGCCAAUGGAGAGGGAAAAAGGCCGAGGGGCUGACUGCUGCGCCUCACCGGCACAUAGAAAGCACAUAUACACGCAUUCCAUUGUCUGGAGAAGAGCAGAGGGUACAAUGCGGCUGGACUAUUCUCGCUUUUUUGUCGUCGAUGUGCGUUGGCUACAAGCACUGCUAUGCCGUCUCGCUCGCGAGUUUCCUCUCUUCAUCGCUCUUCAAUGUACGUAUGCCUCGCUCUCUCUCUCUGUGCAUGAGCGGGUGCAUUUUUUUUUUGUAGUUCCUCCCCCCACUUCUCGUGUGUGUCUCUCAUGUCUGUGCGUGGCGGAUCGAUAUUCACGUAUUCGUGGAUGAUCAUCCCCCCUCUCAUCUUAUUCAUUCGAACAAGAAGGAAAAAAAGAGAAGCGCUUCAGAGCUGAUGCUUAUUUUUUUCUUUUUUUUUUCGAGGCUGUGACGGUGCUCCUUUCCUCCCUUCUCUUCCCCCACCCUCCUAUGCAUCGCCUCCGUCACUCUCUCUUGUCUUUGCCUGUUGCUUUCCUUUUUGUAUCUGGUGAAGACGGCUCGGCAGACACUCCCACAUGGCACAUGCGACGACUUCGACGCACGCUAAGCGACCUGUUCGGGCUUUCUAUGCUUUUUUCUUGCGAGGGAAACGCUCAGACAGGAGCACGCUGGCCCACGUGCUGCUGCCCUACCGGCGCACAGCCGACAGAGGAUGUGCGACUGGGGGUGGGGCGGCGAUCUGCUUUCAACGGCGUUGUGAUGUCGCGCCUUGUGUACUUUCCAGCGCUAUCACAGGCAAGCAUAGGGUCUUCGUCUCUCCCACUCUUGCUUGCGCAUGUGCGCUCGCACGGGGUGCGCAUGUCCGCGUGUAUCCAUCGUACGGAGACGGGCCACGGCUGCAUUGCAUGUUCUUUGUUGUUUCGUUCGUUGUGUCUUCCUCGGUUAUUACGAAGCUGCGCUGUGUCUUGUGUGCUUGCCGGCUUCGUUUCGUUUUCGCUUCCGCAUCCCAUGCUCUCAGCUUUUAUGCCGGCGAGGGAAAUACGCGUUCAGUGGCUAGUUCCGCCUGGCCGCUAGUGCGUGUGAAUAUAUAUAUAUAUAUAUAUAUAUAUAUUAGAUUUGAAGGUAUGGAACUUGUUCCCAUCAGUGAAUACGCGUCGGCGGCUCUGUCUCUGCGUUGCGUUGCCCAUCUCCCUCCCCCUUUCAUUCCUGUUGUGCAUCGGUGUUGGAGAGCCGUUGUGCCCCUCGUGUGAUUGUUCAGAUGUGAGGAGCCACACACCUUUUUCAUUGGCAUGCAUAUUUGACUUGCCUUUGCCGUCGAUGUUCUCGCUUCCUUCCGGACACGGAAGGCGCGCGCACCUUCGGCACGUCGGCCUUUCCCCGACGAGCAGGCGCCGAUGCGCGUGGCGGCCACUUUGCAUGCUUGCGUUUCCCUAUCUGCAGCGUUGCUUGGAGGGUCGCGACCCCUCCUAUCGCUGGUUGAGCAGCACCCCUGGGAAAGGGGCGCUGGCUUCCCGUGAUGGCUACGAAGGUAUCACUGCUCCGGUAGUGCGCGGAGAUUCCCUGACCCCCGCGGUCAGGGGCUCUUUUCCCUCCUUCCCAAGGCCGGUCCUUUCGAGACUCGAUAGGCCGAAGAGGAUGUGAGAGAGAGCGGCUUCUUGCGCACGCCCAUGUCGUAAGCGACCAUAGACAGACUAAGCAGGCACAUAUCGUGCAUGUGGACCGCAGCUUCUUAUCCGUGGACAGAAAUGAACGUGUUGCGCGCGCGUAACUUCCGCCCUCGCAUUCACCCACGUCGAUUCCCGUUUCCCGGAACGGAGGUGGAAGCUGACGUAUCCAGCUGGGCGACCACGCAUACCAUUGCGUCGCACGCGUGAGGCACGCGGUGCCGAAAGCAUCGCUUCUCAUGCUCCGCUCUCUGGCGGCACCGCCUCUCCUCGGACGCUGCGGCACCGGAGUUCCUUGGGCGCGUGAUCUAUACUACUCAGCCUCCUUUGCGUGGCACGGUGCAGAAGCUAGCCAUGCAUUUUCGUAUAUGCAUAUGCAUGCAUGUAUAUAGGCUGUGCUGUUUUUAAGGUGGAGGGAGGCGUUGAAAAGUCAGGACAGAGGGUGGGGCGAGGGGACGACUUUCCGGGCGACAGCCGCGCAUCUUCUUACGUCGUGGUGGCUCCUUAUUCACGCUUCUGUCUCUGUCUUCCACUCAUCGAUUUGCGCCGACGUCCCAGUCUCCGCACAGUUCUUUUCGCUCCUCCUCCGUCCUGGUGCUGCUGCUGCUUUUUGAUUUUGAUUUGUCUCCUGCGUCUGCGCCUCUGCAAUCCUUCGUUUCUCCCUCUCUCCACCUCUUUUUAGUUUUAUUUCAUGUUGAUUGAUGGGGGUUUCUCGAACUGUCUCACUCACGAGCGCGUGGUCCAUCUUAUAUCCCCAGAGCAGGUGGUGUGUGGUGUGUGGUGAAAAAGAGAGUGGGCGAAACACGGCAAGGCAGGGGAUCGGCGGUGGUGGCGAGGCGCGUUGCCAGGCGUGUGUGCGUGCGUGCUCACCUGCGCGCGUCGUGCGACGGUGCCGAAAAUAAGAGGAGGUAGCGUGCACUCGCACAGACUCGAGCUCAGUCGCAUGAGCGGCAGUCGCACCCUGUCCGUUGUUGUGCACAGCAGUGCGGUAGAGGAGAGUAAAAGAGAAUCGGAGGAGGGAUGCUAGGUGAUUUAUGGUGGUGAUGGAGUAUGGAUGCAUUUGUGCACUCAACGGAGUGGGUCGAACGCAGCGUGUCGUAGCCCCUCCCCCCUCCCCCUCCCUCUCCGUCCCGCCGCGACUCCAACACCCUCGUCUCACCAUAUACCUCCCUCCCACUUUGUAUCCUUUUUGCUUGCUUGUUUGGCUUCUUUUAUAUUUUCUGCCCUCUUUCCUUCUUUUUGCUGGCAGGCAGACCCGCGGCAACCGCGCCCUCCCCACCCCUCCUCCUGCUCUUUUCUUUUCGCCUUUUUCCGUGAUAUGCUACGAAUCAACUCGUCUCACCCCCACCCCCAAGCACAGACAAGAGAAACAACAGCAGCAACAACAACCAAGGUGACGUCAGUAACAGACAAGGCAAAGCAUGAGCUAAAUAGCGGUGAGAGGGCAAUGCAACACCCGAGGGAGGUCCGGCAGGAGUGUUGUGGGACUCCCUCCUGCUUUCUCCUCUCUCGCAUUCACGCUAGACCUCCACCUCGCCCCCAUGUCGCACCAUCGUAGGUUGUAGUGGCAAGCAUGCCUCCUUUUUCUAUCCCUCCAAUGCGAAACGCGCACAUGCAGAGGUGUAUCGGCUGAUUGACUUGUGUGUGCGUUGCGCUGUGCCGCAGAGGGGUGAGGGUGCAAGGCAUUCAUCCUUCUUUCUCCUCUCACCACGUCUCUCUCUCUCCGACUCUUGCGACCACGCUUCGUUUCCUCCUUGACCCUUUCUCUGACGCUCUUUUUUUGUGCCAUACACAACCCACCGACGUUCGUCCGUGUCGGGCGCGGCUGUGCUUGUUCCUGCCCUCAG